Molecule: ribosomal RNA, 250 nt
Filed under: Salmonella enterica subsp. enterica serovar Kentucky
Lineage: Bacteria; Pseudomonadati; Pseudomonadota; Gammaproteobacteria; Enterobacterales; Enterobacteriaceae
Description: partial 23S ribosomal RNA
Rfam family: Bacterial large subunit ribosomal RNA
Source: RNAcentral
GUACUUGGUGUUACUGCGAAGGGGGGACGGAGAAGGCUAUGUUGGCCGGGCGACGGUUGUCCCGGUUUAAGCGUGUAGGCUGGUUUUCCAGGCAAAUCCGGAAAAUCAAGGCUGAGGCGUGAUGACGAGGCACUACGGUGCUGAAGCAACAAAUGCCCUGCUUCCAGGAAAAGCCUCUAAGCAUCAGGUAACAUCAAAUCGUACCCCAAACCGACACAGGUGGUCAGGUAGAGAAUACCAAGGCGCUUGA